GCCAAUUUUAGUCAAAGAUCUGGUAAAAGGACUCCACACCCCAUCGAUCUUAGUUGAGAGAAUUUGCAGGCUCAAAGUUGAAAGUUGAAAUCCCUAAUCUCCAAUUCCCAUCCUCCCCAAUAAAGGUUCAUAUCUUCCGUCAGAUCCAGGCCUCGUCUCAAAUUCAAGUUCAAAGCCCAAGUCUCAGAAGCAGCUGUCUGGCAAAGUUGAAGUUGUGCGUGGCACAAGCAUCAAUCAAAGACGGAAAGCAAUUACUUUUUUGAUUCCACAAAGCAGGCUUUUCGUUUCAUUUUUUACCAUUCAAUUCAGACUUCUUGGUCACAUUUCAGCUUGAUGAAAUCAGCACCCACAUGAUUGGUACAGUAAAGUAAUUGAUUUCCCAGGUUUCACAAUUACAUGUUUCCAGGGAACUAUUGAUAACAGAUGAGCUAGAUUGUUGAAAUUCAAGGUCUAGCAGGUUGAUCAAAAUGACUGGUGUAGUGCUAUUUUAUAUAAAUCAAGAAAUCAAGCACAGAUUACUGAUGUUACAUCCAAUAAUUACAUUUUUCUUUAUUGGAGGAUGUCUGAAAGCCAAGAUUGGGAAGCUAUUGCUUGCUGUUGUCGGGGAGCUCUUAUUGUUUGCAGUUUGGGUUCUGGCACCUCUGCGUUUGAACUAAUGGUGGUUUGUGCUCAUUUGAGGAAGAGCUUGAUGCUGGGAUCAUCAACACUAGAGCAUUCUGUUGUCCGAGGAGAAGAAAAUCCUUAAAGAGAUCAAACAACUUGAAAACACAGUGGGAAAGUCAUUGCUAUUGCUGCUGUACAAGCCAAGAUUCUGCAUUCAGUGGUUCAUAUAGAAAAAGAGGCCCUUCAAGACCAUGUUAAACAUAUAGGUGGUGAUUCGGAUGCAGUAAGGAAAGAGCAACGACCAGUCAGGUCCAAAAUUCAGCAACUUGAUUAUGUGAUUAAGCUGGCGAUAUGCAAAUUCAUCAGUACGAGAUGAGCUGAAGAUUGUAACUGAUAAGAGGGAUCAAGCGCAGCAGAGCAUUUUUUACAUUUAGGCAGCAGCUUGAUCAGCAAGUAAGUGAGCAUGAAUUCCAAAAUCAUAAUCUGUUUGGAAAAUCUUAUAAGAGUUGUAUACAUGAUAAUGGUGCCUGUAAAUAUAUUCUUCAAUCAUGCCUUUCUGAAUAAUAUUCAGACUAGGAAAAACCAUUAGUUUGAUUGAGCACAUUUAGGCCUUAGUGCUUUACAUAUAAGCAGUGCACGUCACCUGAAUUGGGUAAUGGUGCAUAGAGCUAUUACGGCUAUAAAAGAUGUUGAUGGAAUGUUUUCUUCUUUGGAUCCUGGAUCUUGAGUACUAUAAUAUUCUCAUGAAGUAAGUAGUCCACAUGUUCUUUUUA
Rosa rugosa (rugosa rose) is the source of this 1376-nucleotide long non-coding RNA. RefSeq lists it as uncharacterized. The record is from RefSeq and is a predicted model, not a curated record. The transcript has 8 exons. Lineage: Eukaryota; Viridiplantae; Streptophyta; Magnoliopsida; Rosales; Rosaceae.